CCUACGGGUCGCAGCAGUGAGGAAUAUUGCCCAAUGGACGAAAGUCUGAGGCAGCAACGCCGCGUGAGCGAUGAAGGCCUUCGGGUUGUAAAGCUCUUUUCUGGGGGACGAGGAAGGACGGUACCUCAGGAAUAAGUCACGGCUAACUACGUGCCAGCAGCCGCGGUAAUACGUAGGUGGCGAGCGUUAUCCGGAUUUACUGGGCGUAAAGCGCGUGUAGGCGGUUUCGUAAGUCGGAUGUGAAAGCUCCUGGCUCAACUGGGAGAGGCCAUUCGAUACUGCGGGACUUGAGGACGGGAGAGGGACGUGGAAUUCCCGGUGUAGUGGUGGAAUGCGUAGAUAUCGGGAGGAACACCAGUGGCGAAGGCGACGUCCUGGCCCUCACCUGACGCUAAGACGCGAAAGCGUGGGUAGCGAACGGGAUUAGAUACCCUUGUAGUC
Molecule: ribosomal RNA, 441 nt
Filed under: uncultured bacterium
Lineage: Bacteria
Description: bacterial SSU rRNA
Rfam family: Bacterial small subunit ribosomal RNA
Source: RNAcentral